GAUGAAGCGUUGAAUUGAAGCCCGAGUAAACGGCGGCCGUAACUAUAACGGUCCUAAGGUAGCGAAAUUCCUUGUCGGUUAAAUACCGACCUGCAUGAAUGGCGUAACGAGAUGGGAGCUGUCUCAACCAGAGAUUCAGUGAAAUUGUAGUGGAGGUGAAAAUUCCUCCUACCCGCGGCAAGACGGAAAGACCCCGUGGACCUUUACUACAACUUAGCACUGCUAAUGGGAAUAUCAUGCGCAGGAUAGGUGGGAGGCUUUGAAGUAAGGGCUUUGGCUCUUAUGGAGA
RNAcentral lists this ribosomal RNA (289 nucleotides) under Helicobacter pylori. RNAcentral's name for it is "partial 23S ribosomal RNA". It matches the Rfam family "Bacterial large subunit ribosomal RNA", at positions 1898 to 2186 of the family's 2925-position model. Lineage: Bacteria; Pseudomonadati; Campylobacterota; Epsilonproteobacteria; Campylobacterales; Helicobacteraceae. The record is from RNAcentral.